AUCUACAGAGUUCUACAGAUUUUUUUGGGUAUUCAGCUCUUUGGUGGUAACGCUGCAUGGUGGCAACACUGUCCCUGGGCGGCGUGCGUGUUUGUUGACGUCCAGCGCCGCCCCCAGCGUGUGCCCCGGGCCCAAAGUCUUUGCCCCGGGCCAGUCAAGGUGUCUACUGGUGUGACCCUGUCCAGAUUGUUGGCCGCGUGAUGGCCGCUGCAGCCCGGGUGGCCCGUGGCCCCUCCCUGGCCCCCAGCAGCAGCACCGUGUACAUCUCCAACCUGCCCUUCACCCUCACCAACACCGACUUGCACAAGGUGUUCGACAAGUUCGGGAAGGUCGUCAGAGUUACAAUCCUUAGGGACAAGGAGUCUCGCAAGAGCCGUGGUGUGGCAUUUCUGCUCUAUUUGACCCGAGAGGAGGCCCAGGCAUGUGUGAAAGCUACCGAUGGAUGUGUAAUAUUUGGCCGCACACUCAAGGCCAGCAUUGCCAAGGACAACGGCCGAGCCCCAGAGUUUAUCAGAAGACGGGAAUAUCCUGACAAAUCCAGGUGUUAUGAAUGUGGGGAGUCAGGCCACCUGAGCUACACUUGUCCGUCUAACUUGCUGGGUGACCGAGAGCCCCCCAAGAAAAAGUCAAAGAAAAGAAAGAAAGAACCGGAUCAGCAGACAAAGAAGUCCUCUACAUCAUGUGACACGGAUGAGGAGGCUGAUGAGGAAGAUUUAAAUUUUGAUGAUGAAUCACUAAGUGCAGCCAUCAAGUACCAGCAAGAAUUACGAGAAGCGGAGUCCUUUCAAGAAAGGAUCUAUGUCGGGGAUACUUCUCAAAGCAAGGAAACGAACCAGAAAGUAAAGAUUAAGAAGUCCUCCUACUUCAGUGAUGAGGAGGAGCUGAGUGACAACUGAGGUGUGUUCGAUGCCUUACUCCACAAAUGACAUGAACUACGGGCACCAACACCAGAGCAUGGAGUGGGUGAGCGAUGCUACCAAGCAAUAAGGAACAUGAACAUGCCAGAAUGAAGAGACCAUUUACUCCUAAGCUCCGUGUGAGGCCAACAACGUCAGGCUUGCUGGCUGAGUAGGUGGGGCCAGAGGGGUUGAAUACGAGACACACAGUGCUGGAAAUAUUGACCACCACUUUACCUGCCCCUCUUUUGUUGGUGCCCAUCCUCUCCAGGGCUAGCAGUGUGCCUCUCAUACAGCCUCCCUGUAGAUCAUAAGGGUUGCUCUCACCUUGCCUCUGAUCAACCCCUACUUGGAACAGCACAUCCAUCCCAACCUCAUCUUCUCUCCUGCUUCUCAAGAUAACAGUACAUCUUUAUGUGGUCCCUGUCAUCAUCAGGACUGACUGAAGAUGACCUUCAGCAUCCCCUAUCAAUGUCGCGAAUCUGGCUGGAUCAAUCUUGUUGUAUAACGGGCAUAUGAAUCACUGUUCCUGUUGUAGGUCAGCAUAGGCAAACUCUAGACUCCUGUCAUUCUGAAUUCAUGAAAUUGUUUCAGGAUCUGAACAAAGCCGAAGUGGCAGAGAUAAGUCCUUAUCAGAUUCAUCAGUGGUGUGAAACCAUAAAUUUUGUUGGCUCCAUCACCAAUCUACUUUUCGGUAAGACCACUCACACUUAACCUGGUAGCUGUGGGGAUCAUGUUUCUUAAAGGCCCCUCUAAGGGAAUUAAUGAGACAUAAUCAUCACUCAUGCAAACCAUUUCAUAAUAUAUGUCAAAGCAUUUGUGAUCAGUUCACGCAUCAUCUAUUUUGGGGGGUUUAUAUUGUGGCAAAAAUUGGCCCGUCGCUGGUAGCUACACAGUAAAGCCACAAAUUUGGCCCGUCGCUGCUACUGGGUUAAGGGGACCGUCUGGUAGUGAUUUUAUGAAAAAAUAUGGAAAAUAAGUUAAAGCCACUGAGAGCUACAUGUGGGCUAGGACAGUUCACCCGUUUUGGAAAAAUCUAUAUUUAAAGGGCAAAUUUAAAGGUCCUGCGCACCCCCUGAAAUGUAUGCUUAUGGUGAAGUAAUAUACGCUUACUUUCAGAUCUAUAAGUUGAUACAUAAUAGCAGGAAAAAAUAAAAUGUAAUUUUUCAACAAAACUCAACUCUCAAUUUCUCUCUCAUCUAACAAUCUAUGCUGCUAAAAAAAAUACCAAAGAAACUUAAAGCAGAAUCCAAAAGAUUCAUCAUGGAAAAUUUUUCAAUUUUGCUUUUGUUAAAUGAUGAUAAUUUUUUUCAAUUUUGUUGGUUUCUAAUGAUAUUUUUUUCCGACAAUUAUCCCUUCAUUGAAAAGAAAACUCAUGAUGAAAAACUUGCGCUUCAGGUCCUCUUCCCAAUGAUGUAUUGUUUAUUAAAAUUGGUCAAAUAGCGGCGAAGAUAUUGCAGAAAAACUCAAACUAAUCCCGUUUUCUAAAAAGGAGAGUUAAAGUCUGCACAGAUUUAAAGAGUUCGCCCUUUAAACCUAGAUGCCAGACAUGUUUGAGCAGAUGCUGGUUGGUUUGCUUACUUUCCCAGCCACAAUCUCUCUAUCAUUCAAUGUGUUUUAUUUUGUAACAGUGGGUAUCUGGUCCCCCUUUUUCAAUGGUAUUAGUUGCUAGAAGCGAGGGUAUCAGAGGGCACCACCUUCCUCAUUGUUGCCAAAUUUACUGCACUCUAGAAGCUUCCUGGUUGGUAUUCUUUACUGAGUUUUCUCUUUGCUCUGAAGGACUUCGUGUGUCUGAUGGUGUCUUUUUCUUGGAAAUCCUGAGAUUUCUCUAUGUCGGAGUUGGUCCGGAACAUAUAGGUUAGGAGACUGGCGUCAGCGCCAAAGUUGUGUUCUAAACUGGUAACCCUGGCCAGAAAGGUUACCCUAAAGAGGCCAGCAUACUUGGCCUUAGAGGCUUUGCCCCACAACUUUCCAUGCAGAGACUCGUUAGGGUUCUGCGUGAACCCUUUUAGACAUCUCUGAAGCAAGUCUUGUGCAGUGAGCUCCUUGUACACCCCUCAGAUUAGGGUUAGCUUCUUGAGAGGAAGUUUGGCCAAAUACAAGUUCUCCUUAUGGCAUCUCCUUCCAGGCUAAGUCUCUGUUGAAGAUGCACCAGGAAUCAGUACCCUUGGGACAUAUUUGGUGUCCAGGGUUCUUGUCAGAUGAGCAGAGGCACCAAUAAGAUGCCCACACAGUCUUCUUCAUUUCCUCGUAAGUGUUGCCCACGUUGUCACGAAUCGCUUUUCCAUAAUAUUUUGACUGCUGGUCGAUUGUAUCAUCUGUAAGCAUGUGUGCCCCGCCGAGGAGACUUCUUUUCAUUUUCUUUCCUUACUUGGUGGUGACAAUUUCGCUUGUCUCCUUCAGUUUCUGAAGUCUUGUACCCAUCCUCUUGCUCACGUGAUUAAUGCAUGCCUCUUUGAUGAUGGGAACAUCAUACGGUCCCCGCCCUUCAUUCAAGCUGCACACUGCACUGUAGGCACUGGAGUCGCCGUCCCCAAUGAACGUCAUGUACUUCAUUUGGUGUCGAGUCGAUCGAGACCAAGGCCGCACAACUCCUUUCUCCAUGGCACUCGACUGUCCUUCGUAGUUUUGUAGCAGCUGUGUUUCUUCUCUACUUUGCCGUCCUUGCACAUGAUGCAGUAGUUACUCAAGACCUCCAUAUCAAGGGUUGUCCUUUGUGUAGGCCUCGAUGACAAAGCACACGCCAAUGUAUGGCUUUUGGCCCCGUGCCAUCCACCUGCCAUCGAAUGUCACAUUAGUUGCCACAUAUCCAUUUUCAUCAGGGUCUUGCUCCAGCUGUUCAAGGUAGUACUGUCUGACUUUGGCUCUGGCUUUCUUCAUAAAAUCUUCAUAAUACUGGUUCAUUUGCUUGAACAGAAAAGUGCAAUGUUUAGCAUACGAUGAGCAACUGAAGGGAUCACCUUGAAAUCCAACAACAUUCUGUAUGCCAGCACGCCCCACUCCAGUCAUGAGACUGAGGUACACCUGCACUAAAUUGUACUCGGUGAAAUUUUCUGUUGUGCAUGGAGGAGCUUCAGUGAUGACUUUGUCACAGGAUGUACACUCUAGGGUGAAACUGGCGUCCAUCAUGAGGGUUGUAGGAUGACUCACACUGCCUCUUCAAUUCAUGUACGGGCACUUCUGGUUGGACACUUACUUUUAACUUACAAAUUCACUCCCUCAGAAGAAUAGUCAUAAACUGUGGAACAGCUUUCCUUCUACACUAAAGUUGUGUUCCCAUAACCAUUUUUGCCCUUGACAUGCACCCCCCCCCCCCCACACACACACACCAAGGUAAAGAAAAGGAGCAGGAAACUAGGGUAGAUCAAUUUCAAAUAGCUGUAUGACCAAAUAAUAAUAAUAAAUAACAACUAGAGUAGAAGUAGUAUAAUAAAUCAAAAUUAAAAGUAA
RNA transcript from Eriocheir sinensis (Chinese mitten crab), 4346 nucleotides. It is a transcript of the gene named zinc finger CCHC-type and RNA-binding motif-containing protein 1-like, with no coding region annotated. Lineage: Eukaryota; Metazoa; Arthropoda; Malacostraca; Decapoda; Varunidae. The record is from RefSeq and is a predicted model, not a curated record. The transcript has 6 exons.